RNAcentral lists this ribosomal RNA (164 nucleotides) under Pantoea agglomerans. RNAcentral's name for it is "partial 16S ribosomal RNA". It matches the Rfam family "Bacterial small subunit ribosomal RNA", at positions 1 to 160 of the family's 1533-position model. The record is from RNAcentral. Lineage: Bacteria; Pseudomonadati; Pseudomonadota; Gammaproteobacteria; Enterobacterales; Erwiniaceae. RNAcentral also lists the same sequence under 2 other names.
AAAUUGAAGAGUUUGAUCAUGGCUCAGAUUGAACGCUGGCGGCAGGCCUAACACAUGCAAGUCGGACGGUAGCACAGAGAGCUUGCUCUUGGGUGACGAGUGGCGGACGGGUGAGUAAUGUCUGGGGAUCUGCCCGAUAGAGGGGGAUAACCACUGGAAACGGU